RNAcentral lists this ribosomal RNA (464 nucleotides) under uncultured bacterium. Its description in RNAcentral is "partial 16S ribosomal RNA". It matches the Rfam family "Bacterial small subunit ribosomal RNA", at positions 28 to 506 of the family's 1533-position model. The record is from RNAcentral.
GACGAACGCUGGCGGCGUGCUUAACACAUGCAAGUCGAACGCUGAACCCGCUUCGGUGGGGGAUGAGUGGCGAACGGGUGAGUAACACGUGGGCAACCUGCCCCCGGCUCUGGGAUAACUCCAAGAAAUUGGGGCUAAUACCGGAUGUGACCGCUGGCCGCAUGGUCUGGUGGUGGAAAGGGUUUCCGGCUGGGGAUGGGCCCGCGGCCUAUCAGCUUGUUGGUGGGGUAGUGGCCUACCAAGGCGACGACGGGUAGCCGGCCUGAGAGGGUGACCGGCCACACUGGGACUGAGACACGGCCCAGACUCCUACGGGAGGCAGCAGGGGGGAAUAUGGCGCAAGGGGCGGAAGCCUGACGCAGCGACGCCGCGUGGGGGAUGACGGCCUUCGGGUUGGAAACCUCUUUCAGCAGGGACGAAGCGCAAGGGACGGUACCUGCAGAAGAAGCACCGGCCAACUACGU